GGAGGAUGAAGUGGGGAACCACAUUGGGACUGGAGAACAAUCACAAGCCGACGACAAUCUUGGUGGCAACAUCCUUGAGUCAUCGUCCCACUGUAAUAGUCGUCCUAUUAAUGACAUUGUACAGAUUGGUGAGGUGGACGUUGUAGAUGCUGGGCGCGAAGAAAGUGUGGCUCUUUCUCCUAGUGAUGGCAGGCGCAACUCCCCUUUUGUCAACUCCCAAUCCGAGGAUCCCCUUGCAUAUUUACCAGUUUUUGGGCGUAAUACAGAGAACCUCGUGCUGUCUCCACUUAACCUAGGAAAUUUAGAAUUCUGCAGCCUGAAUCAUAGCCCAACUUCCUCCUUAUCUUUGGAACCAAAUCCUCUAGCCCUUGUUCCCUACAAAAACCCAGCCCAUAUUCCCCCUACAACCUGGUCUAAGAAGUUGCUUAAGCUUUCUGGGAUUUCCAAACAAAGAAGGAAAUGUAAAUUGAUCAAUGAUCUAAUGGAAUCUUGCCCCAAGUUGUAUGAAGGGGGUAAAAGAAGAAAGGAGAGGAAG
This 535-nucleotide unclassified non-coding RNA is filed under the name Hevea brasiliensis (rubber tree). The record is from RNAcentral. Lineage: Eukaryota; Viridiplantae; Streptophyta; Magnoliopsida; Malpighiales; Euphorbiaceae.